UUGUCUACCUUUAUAAUUUUAGGGGGAUCCAGGGCCCAUGGCACCAAAAGAUUCAAAGUCACCCAAGGCAAAAAAAGUGGGCAAAGAAAGACGAUGACCAUGAUUACAUAAACAAGAAAAAGGGGGCCAGAGCAAGGAAAACAAGGAUCAAACAGGAAGGUGAGAUGAAAACACCAAAGAAAGAAAUUGAUACUUUAUUUAUCCUGAAGGAAACUACGGUAGUGUUAUGUUAGUUAAUGUUAUCAUCUAUAUCCCAUUGUGUAAGCCAGUUCUUG
Molecule: long non-coding RNA, 275 nt
Filed under: Oreochromis niloticus (Nile tilapia)
Lineage: Eukaryota; Metazoa; Chordata; Actinopteri; Cichliformes; Cichlidae
Description: lncRNA (ENSONIG00000038651.1)
Source: RNAcentral